GAUGAACGCUGGCGGCGUGCUUAACACAUGCAAGUCGAACGGAAAGGCUCCUGCUUGCAGGGGUACUCGAGUGGCGAACGGGUGAGUAACACGUGGGUGAUCUGCCCUGCACUUCGGGAUAAGCCUGGGAAACUGGGUCUAAUACCGGAUAGGACGAUGGUUUGGAUGCCAUUGUGGAAAGUUUUUUCGGUGUGGGAUGAGCUCGCGGCCUAUCAGCUUGUUGGUGGGGUAAUGGCCUACCAAGGCGUCGACGGGUAGCCGGCCUGAGAGGGUGUACGGCCACAUUGGGACUGAGAUACGGCCCAGACUCCUACGGGAGGCAGCAGUGGGGAAUAUUGCACAAUGGGCGCAAGCCUGAUGCAGCGACGCCGCGUGGGGGAUGACGGCCUUCGAGUUGUAAACUCCUUUCGCUAGGGACGAAGCGCAAGUGACGGUACCUGGAGAAGAAGCACCGGCUAACUACGUG
Molecule: ribosomal RNA, 466 nt
Filed under: uncultured bacterium
Lineage: Bacteria
Description: partial 16S ribosomal RNA
Rfam family: Bacterial small subunit ribosomal RNA
Source: RNAcentral